Molecule: small RNA, 752 nt
Filed under: Arabidopsis thaliana (thale cress)
Lineage: Eukaryota; Viridiplantae; Streptophyta; Magnoliopsida; Brassicales; Brassicaceae
Description: putative long intergenic non-coding RNA
Source: RNAcentral
CUGCGAUAUUUUCAAUAUAAAUCACAUUUCUACACAAAACACAUCGACCUUUCAUAUCUCUAUCAAAAUCAAAACAUCUCACGAUCUGUUUGUUAUCCAGCCGUAUGUGUGUGUAUUUGUAUGUAUGUGAGUAUGCGUGUGUUUUGUACAAUAAAUGGAAGUAUGAUAGACGAGAGCUGUGAGAUGUUGAUGGGAGAUGGGCCUAGUGGGCCCAAUGAUCACGUGACAGAGGUGAUGAUGAUAUAACGGUCUAGGACCCAUGGGCCUUAAGAAGACUUUGCUAUCUCAACCGACCACCGACGACUGAACCUUGAGCAUUGAUGGUGACCUUUCCACUUAACUCACUGACAUGGCUCGUCGUUUUAGCAAACACUCUUCAUAUUUGUUAAGAGUAUAGUAUCUCUGCCCAAAAAUAGUAUGUUACUGCUCUUACUAUUUUUAUAUAUUCUUUUUAUUUUUAUUUUAUUAUAGCUCUAAAUGCUAAACAAAUCACUCAUAAAAUUUUUCUAGAUAGAUGCUCGUAUCACACAUUUUGGAAUUUAUUAUAUAGAUAGGAUGAAAAAGUGGGUCUAUAUAUACAUGUAUUUGACGGUAUGGUCCGUAUGGAUUGUGAAAUAACCAGCAGCUCCUAGUCCUAGCUAAGGACACCUGUAUGUGUGCACCUAUGUACAGAUGGCGUCAACAUUCCUUUUCAUUUUUAUUUUUUUUCGUCAACAUUCCUUUUAAUUUCUAUUGAUUUUAUAUGUUUUAAU